This 1139-nucleotide long non-coding RNA is filed under the name Coturnix japonica (Japanese quail). Its description in RNAcentral is "lncRNA (ENSCJPG00005003631.1)". Lineage: Eukaryota; Metazoa; Chordata; Aves; Galliformes; Phasianidae. The record is from RNAcentral.
ACUGGUGUCACAGGGGACAGCACGUCUGAGGCAGGACAUGCACCUCAAUUCCUCCAUCCACUUUGUAGUUCUUGCUGAUAUGAGUAGUGAGGGUCAGCUGUGAGCCAUGUGAAUGAUGGCUAAAUAACUAUGAAAUUCCCUUUUCCUGGCACGGUGUUGUUUUAAGGCUUAGUGUUUUUCUUCCUCUUUUUGUUCUGUGACACUUUCCUCUCCGUGCUCUUUAUCACUUACAACUCCCAGUGACUUUUCCUCCUGCAGUCAGCAGAGGGAGAUACGUCCCUUACAUAAAACUACAACAAAUUAGACACGGAAUCGUGCUCACUCCUUGUGCACUCACAGGGCCCUCUGCAGCUCAGCUUGUGAGACUGAGGAGCCGCUGUCACAGGUGCCAUCUCUACACCGUGUAACUGUGGGCUUUCCCCACCCAGCAGUGCAGAUCUCCCCCAUGAUGUCACAGUCUGGGAGGUGACAAAGGGGAGCAGCCCGAAGCCCCUGGAGAAGCAGCGCUGUGUCCGCCAUGUGGGUCACGCUGCUCUUCUUGGUGCUCUUCCUGCCUCCGACUGUGAUGACCAGAGCGUUGAUUUUCCCUUUCCGUGAUCUUGAGCAGGAUCCGUCAAGGAGGCAUUCGCAGAAUUUGCAACAGCACUGUACAGAUGCCCUUUCUGCCGAAGGAGAUGAAGAGAAGAUCUCUGAGGAAGCAGAGGCACUAGAAUCCAGAUUUGGACCCCAUUAUCGUGCCCUACAGAACUACAAUGAGGAGCAGCCUUUGAAUGUGUUGGACAACGCUGAUUUGAUUCAAGGGAACAAAACUGCUGUAGUCAUAGAAGAAUGUUUUAAAGAGAAUGUGAUUCUUGCUGCGUCAUCUAUAGCUCUUGUGAUGUUCUUUGUACUUCUGGCUUCUAUUUGUGUGUUUUUUACAAAACGCAGGAUGAAAAAAGGGUAAGUGUUCCAGUCACGAGCUGUGUCUGUGCUGUUUGGAUCCCUUUACAACAAGUAAAGUAGUAAAGUGAGCCCGCUUUCCUCCAGAUACCACAGGCGGAGCUCAGGAAGGCGGGCAGACGCUCCCCAGCAGCCAGAGGUGCUGCGGCCUUCCCCAGCGCUGUGGGCCGCCCUGGGCCUGCCUUUGUGAGGGUCCAGCU